Molecule: ribosomal RNA, 500 nt
Filed under: uncultured bacterium
Lineage: Bacteria
Description: partial 16S ribosomal RNA
Rfam family: Bacterial small subunit ribosomal RNA
Source: RNAcentral
GAUGAACGCUGGCGGCGUGCCUAAUACAUGCAAGUCGAGCGAACCUCUUCGGAGGUUAGCGGCGGACGGGUGAAUAACAUGUGGGCAACCUACCUUGUAGAUGGGGAUAACAUCGAGAAAUCGGUGCUAAUACCGAAUAACACUUUUCUCCAACUGGAGAAAAGUUAAAAGUUGGCUUUUGCUAACACUACAAGAUGGGCCCGCGGCGCAUUAGCUAGUUGGUGAGGUAACGGCUCACCAAGGCGAAGAUGCGUAGCCGACCUGAGAGGGUGAUCGGCCACACUGGGACUGAGACACGGCCCAGACUCCUACGGGAGGCAGCAGUAGGGAAUCUUCCGCAAUGGACGAAAGUCUGACGGAGCAACGCCGCGUGAGUGAUGAAGGCCUUCGGGUUGUAAAGCCCUUUUGUUGGGAAAGAAAUCCAGCUGGCUAAUACCCGGUUGGGAUGACGGUACCCAAAGAAUAAGCACCGGCUAACUUCGUGCCAGCAGCCGCAGUAA